GACGAACGCUGGCGGCGUGCUUAACACAUGCAAGUCGAACGGAAAGGCCCUGCUUGCCGGGUGCUCGAGUGGCGAACGGGUGAGUAACACGUGGGUGAUCUGCCCCUUACUUUGGGAUAAGCCUGGGAAACUGGGUCUAAUACUGGAUAGGACCAUGCUGUAGGUGGUGUGGUGGAAAGAUUAGUUUCGGUAAGGGAUGAGCUCGCGGCCUAUCAGCUUGUUGGUGGGGUAAUGGCCUACCAAGGCGUCGACGGGUAGCCGGCCUGAGAGGGUGGACGGCCACAUUGGGACUGAGAUACGGCCCAGACUCCUACGGGAGGCAGCAGUGGGGAAUAUUGCACAAUGGGCGCAAGCCUGAUGCAGCGACGCCGCGUGGGGGAUGACGGCCUUCGGGUUGUAAACUCCUUUCAGCCAUGACGAAGCCCUUGUGGUGGCGGUAGUGGUAGAAGAAGCACCGGCUAACUACGUG
RNAcentral lists this ribosomal RNA (469 nucleotides) under uncultured bacterium. RNAcentral describes it as "partial 16S ribosomal RNA". It matches the Rfam family "Bacterial small subunit ribosomal RNA", at positions 28 to 507 of the family's 1533-position model. The record is from RNAcentral.